GCGAUCAUACCAGCACUAAUGCACUAGAUCCCAUCAGAACUCCAUUGUUAAGCGGGCUUGGGCGAGAGCAGUACUAGGUUGGGUGACCCCUUGGGAAGUACUCGUGUUGAACCU
This 114-nucleotide ribosomal RNA is filed under the name Zingiber officinale. The record is from RNAcentral. Lineage: Eukaryota; Viridiplantae; Streptophyta; Magnoliopsida; Zingiberales; Zingiberaceae.